This 295-nucleotide unclassified non-coding RNA is filed under the name uncultured Ascomycota. RNAcentral's name for it is "sequence contains ITS1". The record is from RNAcentral. Lineage: Eukaryota; Fungi; Ascomycota.
CUGGACUACCGGGGUUUCUAAUCCUGUUUGCUACCCACGCUUUCGCUCCUCAGCGUCAGUAUCGGCCCAGAGCGGCGCCUUCGCCACCGGUGUUCCUCCUAAUAUCUGCGCAUUUCACCGCUACACUAGGAAUUCCCCGCUCCCCUACCGAACUCUAGUCACAAUAGUAUCGAGUGGCGUCUCUGGGUUAAGCCCAGAGUUUUCACACCCGACUUACUGAACCGCCUACGAGCUCUUUACGCCCAAUAAAUCCGGACAACGCUUGGUGCCUACGUGUUACCGCGGCGGCUGGCAC